This 497-nucleotide ribosomal RNA is filed under the name uncultured bacterium. RNAcentral describes it as "partial 16S ribosomal RNA". It matches the Rfam family "Bacterial small subunit ribosomal RNA", at positions 28 to 507 of the family's 1533-position model. The record is from RNAcentral.
GAUGAACGCUGGCGGCGUGCCUAAUACAUGCGAGUCGAGCGAACGGACGAGAAGCUUGCUUCUCUGAUGUUAGCGGCGGACGGGUGAGUAACACGUGGAUAACCUACCUAUAAGACUGGGAUAACUUCGGGAAACCGGAGCUAAUACCGGAUGAUAUUUUGAACCGCAUGGUUCAAAAGUGAAAGACGGUUUUGCUGUCACUUAUAGAUGGAUCCGCGCUGCAUUAGCUAGUUGGUAAGGUAACGGCUUACCAAGGCAACGAUGCAUAGCCGACCUGAGAGGGUGAUCGGCCACACUGGAACUGAGACACGGUCCAGACUCCUACGGGAGGCAGCAGUAGGGAAUCUUCCGCAAUGGGCGAAAGCCUGACGGAGCAACGCCGCGUGAGUGAUGAAGGUCUUCGGAUCGUAAAACUCUGUUAUUAGGGAAGAACAUAUGUGUAAGUAACUGUGCACAUCUUGACGGUACCUAAUCAGAAAGCCACGGCUAACUACGUG